UAAACUGGGAUUAGAUACCCCAUUAUUUUUAACUGUAAAUGGAGAUGUGUUCUACCUAAGUAUUAUGAAUUGUUAUUUAAAAUUUAAAGGACUUGGCGGUAUCUUAGACUAUUUAGGGGAACCUGUUUUUUAAUCGAUGGUCCUCGUUUUACCUUACCUUUUUUUAUUGGUUUGUAUACCGUCGUCGUCAGUUAACUUUUAGAGAAUUAUAUAAGUUGUCUAUUUAAAUUUUUAGUUUUAGAUGUCAGAUCAAGGUGCAGCUUAUGGAUUGGUAAAUAUGGGUUACAAUUAUUUUAUUUAUAUAUGAAUAAUAUUAUGGAAUUAAUAAUUGAAAUAGGACUUAAAAGUAAUUUAAUUUAGAUAUAUUUGAUGAAGAUAGCUCUUGGAUGUGCACACACCGCCCGUCACCCUCA
Molecule: ribosomal RNA, 413 nt
Filed under: Annularops semicanus
Lineage: Eukaryota; Metazoa; Mollusca; Gastropoda; Littorinimorpha; Pomatiidae
Description: partial 12S small subunit ribosomal RNA
Source: RNAcentral